UUGUUAGUCAUACAUUUGCAACCACGCAAUAACCAAUAUUAUAUGUAGUUGCAAAUUUAAUGCCAUGUCCGAAGACGAAAACAUACAUAUGUAAUUAGACUCUAUAUUGUAGAUUACGUUAAGAACUGUAUGAAAAUAUGUCACAUAAUGUCACACUUUUUAAAGGGAAGUCAUGAAGCAGGACAGUACUCCAGGCUGUAAGUGGAAAACCCUUUAACAUGCAUCAAUGAUAUUUUUUAUUUGUUUACCACAGGUGUUCAAAUGAAUAAAUUUGUAUAUAAAUAGAAUGCUAGCUUAUAUAUGUUAGUUCUACAAAAAUACUUGAUCACUUUUACAUUACUGGAAUUUUUGCAAGCGUAUACCUAAUAAUAAAGUCUCUCAGAUAUUUACUGAAACAUUAUUUUUACCAGGUAAAAAUGUCAAUUAGCUACGCACUAUCGAUAAUCCUCUUCAUAUCUAUGUUUGGCGAUGAUACAUUCGCUUUUUAUCAAGUGACUGAUCACCCCAGUGUUGUCUUAGGCCCAUUUUUCACCUACCACCCUCAUGGAACGAGUCAUUGUCUGAGUGAAGGUCACGAACCGGGAUCACUUAUCGUACGCCCGUGCGAUUCAAAUAAAGCACUUGCUUUUUUCAAAAGCGGUGACGAAACGCUUAAAAGCAAUAGCACGAAUGGACCUCUCUGUCUCGAAGAAAGAACAACUUCUGCUGCGUUAGCGAUUUGCGACUAUAAGAAGGAACAACAACGCUGGCGUAUGCAUUGUAUUUUUACCGACAACUGCUAUGUAAAGACAGAGUCGAAGAAAUGUUUAAAGGUGGAUUUGACAGAUUACACAUCUGUGAUUAUCGGUGAGUGCACGAAAGAUGCUUUAUGGCAGCGGAGAUGGGUAAAAGGAACCAAAACUGAUUUUAUUUCUAAUUAGGAAAUACGUCUAAAAUUCUACGUAUUACAUUAUAUGUACAUGUAUUUGUAUAUGUAUAUGUACUACAAUAUUCUUUACAUACAUAUGUAAAUAUGCGUAUACGCAUAUAUGUAUACGAUUGAUUACAGAAUUAUACAGAAUUUGCUAAAUUUGCUUUCAUUUCUGAAAAUUAAUAAAGGCGUCAAGUAAAUUAAAUACGUAAUAACUUCAACAAGCUAGCACAAGUGUCGACAUAAGUAAAUUGCAUAUACAUAUAAAGUCAUCUGGGUAAAUGCCAGGUUUGCCAGUUUUUGUUCUUAUUAAUUUCUGGCGUUACAUAUAUAUGUAGAUUUAUCAUUAACUUAACCUAGUAAGUUCAAUUUAUAUUACAUGUUAUAUGUGUCAAGAAAAUAUACAUAGUGAAUAUGCUUUUACCUUUACAUAUUUAAGACAUUAGUAAGAGGUUUUAUAAAAAAAAUUCAUAAAAUAUAGAAAAUGCAAUAAUAAAUAAGUGUAUAUAUGUAGUAAUGUACCAGAUUUGUAUUUUCAGUUUAUGGUAAUUUUAAAUAUGUAGGAUAGUACAGGACCCAAUUAUCCGUAUAACUAGCGAGGUAAGCAUGUCUGUAUCAAAGGUAUCUGGAUGUGACAAUUAAGCAAGGAUGAUUUAUUAUUUUGUAUGAUUUACAUAACGACUAUAUUUAAUUACAUGGUUCAACGCGAUGUCAUGGAAUCCAGAUCCUGAAAAAUUUCACUGAAUAAUAACACGUUAGUACAUAUCUAAAAAGGUGUAUUUAUGUAGCAUAUGAACCAAGUAGAUUAAUAGAGUUUCCAUUGUGAAAUCCAAUACUCGCCAGAGUGUGACUGUAUUUGCCACACGCGGAGUUGGUGCAUACAUAAAUAAAUACCCAUUUUAAUCUUA
This is a long non-coding RNA of Folsomia candida, 1818 nucleotides long. RefSeq lists it as uncharacterized. The record is from RefSeq and is a predicted model, not a curated record. Lineage: Eukaryota; Metazoa; Arthropoda; Collembola; Entomobryomorpha; Isotomidae. The transcript has 2 exons.